This is a long non-coding RNA of Sitophilus oryzae (rice weevil), 977 nucleotides long. RefSeq lists it as uncharacterized. The record is from RefSeq and is a predicted model, not a curated record. NCBI's taxonomy places the organism in Eukaryota, Metazoa, Arthropoda, Insecta, Coleoptera, Curculionidae. The transcript has 3 exons.
GCAGCAUGGAGUUAUGAUAUCAUUCUACUCGAUUUUCUCCUAUUUCAGAUUUUUAGAUUUAUAUUGACCAAUAUCAAAAUUCCAAUGAUGUGAAUUAUGUGUAAAAUAGAGGAAAGAUACUUAAUGGAGAUUGCGAAAUAUUUUGGACAAUUGGACAUGACAAAGAAUUAAGAAGCACGGCAAUAAAGGUAGAAAAAAAUAGGGCUAGAAAAGCAUCAGUCUAGUGUUGAGUAUAUCGGAAGCCCCAAAAUUAGAUGGAUCCAAUAAUAAUGGAUAUUAAGGACAGAAUUUGUCUGUUUAUUUUUUUUUAAAUCAUGUACCUAUAAUUUAAAUUUUGAAAACAGAAUGUACUGUGUCCUAGGCUAGGUUUAGGGGAGUUUCAUCUUAUUAAAUUACCUUUUCUUUUCAAAUGUAACCAUCUACAGUGUUUUAUUUGUGUCUAAUUCAAUUGAUAAUGAAUUAGAGCUGUUAUUAGAGCUGUCUAAAUCUAUAAUAAGAUAUGUUGCCAUGAAAUAAAAACACAUCUCUCAAAAAAAGUUCUUUUGGCAUUGGGUCAAUAUAGUAUUAAAAUUUUAAUAUUUUUAUUCUAUCUUGUGCGUUCCAUUCCAUGAGCAACAUUUUUCAAAAUAAUGUUUAUUUCAUAGUUGGCAUGAAAAAGGUAACUGUUUUUUUUAUAUGUAAGUGAAUUUCAUCGCUCAUCAUUUCCAAGCCAACUCUGACUCCGUUUUUUAUCAUACGUACUUAAUUCACAAGAAUUUGAUGAUUAAAUACAUAUAUCUUAAUAAAGUAAUUAUAAAUAUAUUUAUUCAGAUAUCAUUUUAGACCUACAUACUUAUAUUAUUAUGGUAAAAAAUAUUAGCUUAUUUCUUAUUUAUUUAUUUAUUAUUAAAUUAUAGUAUUUUCAUUUUCAUCUUUACAUACAAGUGUCUAUUUCUGUAUUUUAUUCUCAUUCAAACCAAUAAAUUUAUUUUAACAGA